GAGCUCUGGAAAUCCACUUGGGCA
This 24-nucleotide non-coding RNA is filed under the name Rattus norvegicus (Norway rat). The record is from RNAcentral. Lineage: Eukaryota; Metazoa; Chordata; Mammalia; Rodentia; Muridae.